Drosophila nasuta is the source of this 2092-nucleotide long non-coding RNA. RefSeq lists it as uncharacterized. NCBI's taxonomy places the organism in Eukaryota, Metazoa, Arthropoda, Insecta, Diptera, Drosophilidae. The record is from RefSeq and is a predicted model, not a curated record. The transcript has 4 exons.
GAUAUUUUCAUAUUUUUGGCACUUGGCUUAUGCUUAAGUACAUUUCUAAUGUAAUUUUUAAUAAGUUUAAUAAUGAGUGAAACCGCCGUUUUUCGAUAUAACUUCAUAUAAACGAUCGGGAAGCGAGCUAUACAAAUUUUGCAGUAUUUGCAGCGAAUUUGAAUUGCCGCAACUAAAGUUGUUUUACUUUCAAAUUGCCUGCCUCCUUCAUAUACCUUGCGCGAUAGCAACCCCCAUACGUUUUUCAUUAUACGGUCAGGUGAAUAUGGGGGCCAUUCGAGCAAGUCCACAUUUUGAUCCUUAAUCCAUUCUUUUACCACCUUUAUCAAUAGGAGCGUUAUCUUGCUGGUAAGUCCAUUAAAUAACUUGAAAAAUAUUGGAGUAAUAAGGAAACGCUAUCUGUAUUAUAGAUUUGUAGGUUUCUGCCCUCAUUUUGGAAGUAACAAAUUGCAGGUCACAAGUGCUAAAGACUGAUACCGACCCCCCAAACCAUUACGCCUCCUUCACAGCUACGGCGACGGUUCAGGAAAUGCUCUUCCUUUCGACGAUCGUGAUAGUAAUAAUUGUAUCCAAAUGUCCAAAUUACAUUUUUUUUCGUCGGAUUCUGAUUUUUUGAUUUGUUUCUCAAAAAAUUACUCACAACAUUUUGGCUUCGUCAAAUUUUUCGAGAGAUUUUGCAUUGACUAAGACCACUUUCACGAUAGGCUUCAAUUUGGCCUCUUUCAUACUCCGAUAAUUGUUCUCCGCGUCCCAUUUUUCAAAUAAUUUAAAGAAAAUAUUAUUAUUUUCUCCAAGUGACCAACAAAUUUACAUAAAAAAUAAACAAUUAAAAUCGAAUGAUAUUGCAUAUGUGUGCCGUUUAAAGGAUUGUAAAGCACGGGUUUAUUUAAGUGCAGAUAAGGCUCGCGUUUUUUCCAAUCCUGAGAAAAUAAAGCAUUUUCAUGGACCACAAGGCCAUGAAAUGGAAAAAAUCUAUGUGCUGUCGGAAAUAAAAUUGAAGUGUCAAAACAAUUCCGACGACACCAAAAAAAUAUUUAAUGAUGUUCUCGCGAGGUCAUCACUUUGAUGCAAGGCAAUAUUGAGGAGCAGAAUAGGCAUUUUUUUAAUAGAUGCCACAUUUAAAGUUUGCCCUUUCGGGGACUUUAAGCAACUGCUUAAUAUUUACAUAUGUUAAACUCAUGCAAAAGAUAACACCUUUCCUAUUUGUUUUGAUGACACGUAAAACGGAGCUCUGUUACCAACACCUGUUUACGUAUGUAUGUUGACUCAAACAUUUGCUGUCUUAAUGGUACAUCAUUUAUGUAUAUCCGAUUUUGAGAAGGCGAUGCGCAACGCUUUGAAAAAUUUGCAUCCAAAUAUGAAUUUUUUAUGCUUGCUGUUUCUAUUUUACACAAGCAUGUAAAAGAAAUGCAAUCAAAACUAUUGGUUUGGAUAAAAUGCUUUCGUGCAGUAAACAUGCGUAUAUGCUGUUUAUGAAAUUUACCUCUUUUACCGGAAUGCAAGCAUUUGUUGUUGAAGCAUUUAGUCUUCUUGAAGCUCAAGCCACAGCCUUAGAUAAGAAGAUGUUUUCGCCCUUUUUAAAAUAUUUUAAGAAGCAGUGGCUUAAGAAGGAUCGCGCUCAAAAAAUUAUGGAUGCAAUGGAUUUGUUUGACAAGGGAGAAAUUGACAUACAGGGUUUUUUGACACGAACUGUUUCGCUAAAUGACCGUUUUAAAAAACAGUACCUGUUCGACAGUGUGCAUAUGGACUCCAAUUUGUCGGGAAUGUCAUCUGAAAUGAAGGCAUCAACAUCAUCGCUUUCGUCGAGUGACUCAAAAUCUAGUCAAAUAUCCGAUUCAUCUAUAUUUCAAAUGAAUCCCUGCAAUGUAUGUCUCAUCGAACCAAAAUCGGUUUUAUUGCGCCCAUGUAAUCAUUUGAAUAUUUGUGCAGCAUGUUGGGAUCAAAUUCUGGCUCAUAAUCAAGAACAGAACGAUGAUCCUAACGAUCCUGACAGUGGUGAACCAAAAUGUCCAACGUGUCAACAAGUUGUCAAAGAAGCUAUCCGUAAUGUUUAUAUAUAUAAUUAAAAAAUUAAAAUAAUAAACUAAGUUUC